Long non-coding RNA from Chinchilla lanigera (long-tailed chinchilla), 776 nucleotides. RefSeq lists it as uncharacterized. Lineage: Eukaryota; Metazoa; Chordata; Mammalia; Rodentia; Chinchillidae. The transcript has 5 exons. The record is from RefSeq and is a predicted model, not a curated record.
UUCCAGUGUGCAUACUUCCCGGUGAACCCUAAACCCCUUGGGGGCAGGAACUGUGUCCUUAUUUUUCAUCCCUACGACCCUGAGCACAGUAACUAACACAGAAAACCAGAUCUGAUUUCAUGAAUCCAACAAAAGGCUACUAAAUUCCAACUAUGCGUGGUGAGUGAUCAACCUCGGAGUAGGCCUGCAUGCUGAGACCUGGAGCAACUGCGGGUGGGUCGGUGUCAUUCAUUAUAUUGCAGUAUCAACUUGCAAUGUUCCUGGUCCAGCCUCCCCCAGCAGCUGGGAUUACAAAUGGAAACAGAAAAGGUGACUCAGCAAAGUGCGGCUCUGCUAACAGUCCUGAUGUCACCAGAUGACACCAGAUAAUCCCGGAUGCCAUCAGCUGACACAGCCAGCUACUGGUCACUGCCAAUGCCGACCACCACCAUCUGAUACCAGCUUGUGGUGGACACCAUAAGUCAGCUGUACUGGGUGCUGUGUCUCUGCCGCUGGUCUUCGUUGGCUGCUGGUCUCUGGAGCUCUUUGAUGUUAACAGUUCUGAGUGCUUAUUCAUUCUGCCCAUUCUGCUCAGGAUAAAAAUCCUAAGGCCUGUGCUGCAGAACACAGGAAGGAGCCCUCCUAGACUACAUCCAGCAAUGCCAGGAGGGCAGCUUGCAGCCCGUUUCAGUGAGGGUUUGGACUGAAGACAGGGAAUCUCCUGGAAGGCUUGCUGUGAAUGUUAGUGCUGAGGAUCAAACUCACACCUCAGAUGUGCUAGGUGAGUGGUCCACCCC